GCGGAUGUGGCGAAAUUGGUAGACGCACUGCUUUCAGGUGGCAGCGCCUUUGGUGUGAAGGUUCGAAUCCUUUCAUCCGCA
RNAcentral lists this transfer RNA (81 nucleotides) under Algoriphagus sp. RNAcentral's name for it is "tRNA-Leu". It matches the Rfam family "tRNA". Rfam says of the family: Transfer RNA (tRNA) molecules are approximately 80 nucleotides in length. Their secondary structure includes four short double-helical elements and three loops (D, anti-codon, and T loops). The record is from RNAcentral. Lineage: Bacteria; Pseudomonadati; Bacteroidota; Cytophagia; Cytophagales; Cyclobacteriaceae.